Brassica napus (rape) is the source of this 2865-nucleotide RNA transcript. RefSeq lists it as uncharacterized. Lineage: Eukaryota; Viridiplantae; Streptophyta; Magnoliopsida; Brassicales; Brassicaceae. The transcript is spliced from 6 exons. The record is from RefSeq and is a predicted model, not a curated record.
AAUAGUUUAGUUUUUAUUUGUUUCUUUUUUUCUUUCUUCUCCAUAGGAAGAAAACCAGAGAAGUCUCAGAUUCAACCAGCUUGGCUUCCUCAAAUUCUCAGAUUUGAUCUCUUGCCACCGUCGACUGAAGCUUCACCACCACACUCCUUUUGACACCGUCGCUCUUUACCACCACCACCACCAGCUCGUCACCACCAUCGCCAUCUCUCUCUGAUUAGGGUUCUCAAGGUCGCUCCUGCUCCUCAUACGGUUUCUGGGUUGGAGAUGGCAGCAUUGAUGAAGCGGCGGAGGAGGCUUCAGCGCAGAAGAAACGUGUUUCUCUUCAGAGACAAGCCGCCGUUACGGUUGAGGCUGCUGAGGAUUACGCUCAGAUAUUUGAAUCUGGUGUCAAUGUGCUUUCCUCUCUAACGAUCAGGUUGGUGAGGAGUUGGCUCAGUCCGGCGUGAAUGUAAUGUGCAAAACGUGCUUCUUGGGAGAAAGCCAAGGAAGUGAGAGAGCAAGGAGGAUGCUUUCUAGUAAAAGCUGUGGCAAGAAGUACAAUAAGAAUUGUGUAAAGUCUUGGGCUCAACAUAUAGGUGCUUUCAUUUGAUUCGUUGUUGUGUCCUACUUUCUCUUGCUUGGUAAGGCUUUUGAAGUCUAUAAGUGCUGUAAAUUGCAGAUUUUUUUCAUUGGAGUUCAUGGAGUUGUCCCUCGUGCCGUGUUUGUGAGAUUCCAAAUGGAUUGCUGCAAGAUUGCAAGAGUCAGCAAAAUCUUUCUCUGCAUAACAAUCCCAUUUCAAUGGAUGAGUUUCGGCUGAUGGAAGGGCUGGACCUUGAAGACUGUCCUGAAAAAGAGCCUCUUGGUCAUGGAUUCUAUGCAGACUUCACUAUGGCAACAAGGAUAACAAUACCAGAUUUCAUCACCGAGUUUAUCUGUUAUAUUUUAAAAUGAGUUCAUGUGUUUCAUGUAUUUGAUUUUGUGUGUUUUGAAUCAUUUUGGAAUCUAAAUUUUUUUUAACCCCUAAUCCCUAAAUAUAUUUUAACCCCUAAACUCUAUAUAUAAUCCUAAAAUCUAAAUUUUAAACUUUUAAACUUUAUUUAAAAAAACAAUUCGAUAUAAAUAUACUAAUUCAAACCGGACCCAUCUAGUACUCUAAAUCUAAUACCCUAAAAUUCAAAGUUAAAUGAUAUUCUAAAUACUAAAUAAAAUCUCUAAAUAAUUUUUUUCAGAUUUUAAAUCCAAAAUUUAAACUUAAACUUUAAAUCUAAUUAAAAAAAAACUCCAUUCAAAAUCUUAAAUGUAAACCUUAAAUCUCCAUCAAAUUCUAUACCCUAAAUCCUAACUUCAAACAUAAACACAUACCACUAAAUAUAAACUUCCAAUAUAAAUUUUAAAAAUUUAACAAACUUCAAAUUUAAAUCUUAAUCACAAACUUUUAUAUACAACUCUAACUCCUACACUUUCAAAACUUUCAAUCCCUAAAUCAUAAUAAAUUGAUCUUUAAUCUACACUUUAUAUCUAAUACCUAAUACCCCAAACUUAAACUCUACAUACAAAUCAUAAAUACAAUAUUUACAAACUUAUAAUAGAAAUUUUAAAUUAAACUCUGAAUAUAUUCUAAAAUUCAAAUCAUAUACUGAAUCCUAAAUCUUCACCCUAACUCCUAAACCACAUAUCUCAUUUUAACAUAUAUCAUAAAACAUCAAAUCUUCUUUUUUAAUAAAUUAUAAUUCUGUAAAUAAAUUAAAAUUUAAAAUACAAAAUCUAGACUUCAAAUUUUCAAUUAUGAUAUCAAAGUAUUUAAAGCUUAAAUCAUUUGUAUAAUAGCUAUAAAUAAAUAAGAAGACAAUUUGUAUUGUUUUUUUUAACUAUUGAUUGAUUUGAAUCAAAGGCCCAAAAUCACUCUUGUAUCUAUCCCCACACUUUCUUCCUAUUGUUUUACUUGUUUAUGACAUGGAUCACCAUCUGCACCCUUGGAUGAUAUUGAAUCAACGCUUGAGAUUAAUUAUUCUUUUUUUCUUUGUUUUUUUAAUUAUCUUUUCUGAUCUACGAGAGAAGAGAUGGAGUUCGUAGAUGAUAAAGGAGAAGUCGCCACGGCCGGUCGUCGCCACCACCACCAUCGCUCGUUACCACCACCACCAUCGCCAUCUCUCCCAUCCCCAAUUGCUCGUUACCAUCACCACAAUCAUCAUCUCUCCCAUCCCCAAUCGCUCUUCACCACCACCAUCGCUUCUCAGAUUCGUCUUCACCACCGUCACGCUCGUCAUAACCACCACUGUUCACUUCUCUGUCUCUCACUCUAUGUCUCUGGUGGAGCAUACAGGACCAAGAGGGAUGACUCUGCCAAAACUAUGUCUCAGCGUUUGCAAGGUGGUGGUCGUGACUCGUGAGCAAGAGCUGAUGUUCUGCAGAGGAGAUGUCUCGAACUCGUCUCCGUCUAGACUCACACGAAUGUUGCAGUCUCUCAUUGGAAUUGCCAAGUGCAGCCUUUGAAGGAUUAUACAAAUAAAACAUUGCUCUACGGCAGACUUGAAGACAAUAUUGCUUAAGUAUGGGUGUUGAGAUAAGUUAUCUUGUUCGUUAAUCUUGUACUGAUUGGUUCCCAUCUUAAGCAUAGGUGUAUGUCCUCAAAUCAUUGUAUUUAGCAACACUUGUUCUGUGUGCUUUUCAGAUACUGGUGAAGCUUGAAGAAGGUGGAAGAGACAGAUGAACCUCGAGGAAGGUUGAAGUGAAACAACGAGCUUGAGGAAGGCGGCGGCUUAGGUUUAGUUUUUGGGUUAAUGUGUUUUAAUUAGUUUUUGUUUUAUAUGUACUUGUUUAGUUUUGUAAAAUUGAUUGUAUUUGUAAACUGAUUUUAGUGAAUAAAUAAAAUUUCAUUUUUAAUUA